GGGGUAAUGGCAGGGAAUGGCUUUGUUUCACCUGGAGAGCGUGUAUACGGGUUCUCCGUAUCGAGGGUUCGAAUCCCUCCCACUCCGCCA
RNAcentral lists this transfer RNA (90 nucleotides) under Meiothermus sp. RNAcentral's name for it is "tRNA-Ser". Lineage: Bacteria; Thermotogati; Deinococcota; Deinococci; Thermales; Thermaceae. The record is from RNAcentral.